GGCGCCCUGGGGCCAGCAGACGUGCUCGCAGGCCUGACCUCGGGGAGCUGGGCGCUGCCGCCUCUGUGCGGGGGGACUCUGGCUCAGGCUCCCCAGUGGUCCCGAGGGAUUUGGGGGUGCUCCCCUAGCGUAAGCAGAAACUCUGUGUGACCUUGUUAAAGUGGUCCAGCCUCCUCGGGCCUCGUCUUCCUCGUUACUGAUGCUUGUCCUGCCCACCUCGUUAGAUGGGGAAUCCUAAAGCUCCGCCUCGUGUCUCGUUACCGCCCUGGAGUCAAUGCUGCUCGCUGCUGGAGGCUUGCAAGCCCAAGUUACGGAGUCAGACUGUCCGGGUUCGAAUUUUCGUCUCUGCCUUGUAGUAGGGUGACCUUGGGCGAGUCAUUUAAUGCCUCUGAGCCAUGACCUCUUUACCUGUAAAGUGGGCAGAACAAUAACUUCUAUUCUGUGGGCUUAAAUGACAAGCACAACGCGUUGUCAGACUUAGAAUAAAUGCUCAAAAAAAGGG
Molecule: small RNA, 502 nt
Filed under: Pongo abelii (Sumatran orangutan)
Lineage: Eukaryota; Metazoa; Chordata; Mammalia; Primates; Hominidae
Description: sense intronic
Source: RNAcentral